RNAcentral lists this transfer RNA (76 nucleotides) under Phycisphaera mikurensis NBRC 102666. RNAcentral describes it as "tRNA-Ala". It matches the Rfam family "tRNA". Rfam says of the family: Transfer RNA (tRNA) molecules are approximately 80 nucleotides in length. Lineage: Bacteria; Pseudomonadati; Planctomycetota; Phycisphaerae; Phycisphaerales; Phycisphaeraceae. The record is from RNAcentral.
GGGCCUGUAGCUCAGUUGGGAGAGCGCUGCCUUUGCAAGGCAGAUGUCGUCGGUUCGAGCCCGUCCAGGUCCAUCU